Molecule: ribosomal RNA, 456 nt
Filed under: uncultured bacterium
Lineage: Bacteria
Description: bacterial SSU rRNA
Rfam family: Bacterial small subunit ribosomal RNA
Source: RNAcentral
AGAGUUUGAUCAUGGCUCAGAUUGAACGCUGGCGGUAUGCCUAACACAUGCAAGUCGAACGAGGUAGCAAUACCUAGUGGCGGACGGGUGAGUAACGCGUGGGAAUCUGCCCAUAGGUGGGGGAUAACUAGCCGAAAGGUUAGCUAAUACCGCAUAUGCCGAAAGGUAAAAGGAGUAAUCCGCCUUUGGAUGAGCCCGCGUCCGAUUAGCUAGUUGGUAGAGUAAAAGCCUACCAAGGCGACGAUCGGUAGCUGGUCUGAGAGGAUGAUCAGCCACAAUGGGACUGAGACACGGCCCAUACUCCUACGGGAGGCAGCAGUGGGGAAUUUUACGCAAUGGGGAAACCCUGACGUAGCGACACCGCGUGAAUGAAGAAGCCCUUUGGGGUGUGUAAUUCUGUCGGCUGGGAAGAAAAAAAUGACGGUACCAGCAAAGGAAGCAUCGGCUAACUACGUG